RNAcentral lists this non-coding RNA (215 nucleotides) under Oceanobacillus picturae. RNAcentral's name for it is "T-box sequence". It matches the Rfam family "T-box leader". From Rfam's summary of the family: Uncharged tRNA acts as the effector for transcription antitermination of genes in the T-box leader family. T-boxes are found upstream of many aminoacyl-tRNA synthetase genes and some amino acid biosynthetic genes usually in Gram-positive bacteria. The record is from RNAcentral. Lineage: Bacteria; Bacillati; Bacillota; Bacilli; Caryophanales; Bacillaceae.
UAAUUUGUGUUGAAGGAACGAAGUAGUCGAGUAAAUCCCUAUUCUAGAGAACCGGCGGGUGGUGAAAGCCGGGAUAUAUUUACUGACGAAUUACAUUCCGGAGCAAUUUCGAUCGUUUUGAGCGUUCGGAACGGUGGCAACAUCGUUAACAAUCCGAAGUGGCAGAUUUUAAAUUUGCAACAAGGGUGGUACCGCGUGUUAAACUCGUCCCUUUU